AACGAACGCUGGCGGCAUGCCUAACACAUGCAAGUCGAACGAAACCACCGGGACCUUUGUCCCCUGGCUUUGUCACCGGACGGAACCUUCACACGUGUACAACCUAACUAUCCGACUGGGGUGCCAACAGCAGACCAGAUCUUAUACCCAAUGAUAUAUUGACUCUCGUUGUUCACUCGUUAAAUACGCUUUUUCUUUCACUUAUAGAUUACUACGCCCCGCAUUAACUAGUUGGUUAGGUAACGGCUUACCAAGGCAACGAUGCGUAGCCGACCUGGGAGGGUGAGCGGCCACACGGGAACUGAGACACGGUACAGACGCCUACGGGAGGCAGCAGUAGGGAAUCUGCCGCAAUGGGCGAAAGCCUGACGGAGCAAAGCGGCGUGAGUGAUGAAGGUCUUCGGAUCGUAAAACUCUGUUAGUAGGGAAGAACAAAUGUGUAAGUAACUAUGAACGUCUUGACGGUACCUAAUCAGAAAGCCACGGCUAACUACGUG
Molecule: ribosomal RNA, 497 nt
Filed under: uncultured bacterium
Lineage: Bacteria
Description: partial 16S ribosomal RNA
Rfam family: Bacterial small subunit ribosomal RNA
Source: RNAcentral